Molecule: ribosomal RNA, 405 nt
Filed under: uncultured eukaryote
Lineage: Eukaryota
Description: SSU rRNA
Rfam family: Eukaryotic small subunit ribosomal RNA
Source: RNAcentral
UGAGAAACGGCUACUACAUCUAAGGAAGGCAGCAGGCGCGUAAAUUACCCAAUCCUAAAUCAGGGAGGUAGUGACAAGAUAUAACAACGCGAUUAAAUGUCGCGAUUGUAGUGAGGGUAUUCUAAAAUAGCUUCGAGUACGAUUGGAGGGCAAGUCUGGUGCCAGCAGCCGCGGUAAUUCCAGCUCCAAUAGCGUAUAUUAAAGUUGCUGCAGUUAAAAAGCUCGUAGUUGAACUUCAUGAGCAGUAGGUAGCUUACUACCUGCUCUCUACCAGUCUUUCGACUGUUACUGUGAGAAAAUUAGAGUGUUUCAAGCAGGCUAUUGCAGGAAUACAUUAGCAUGGAAUAACGAAUGUACCUACAAUUUGGUUAAUUGUAGAUUACUAUUAAUAGGGACAGUUGGGGG